RNAcentral lists this ribosomal RNA (117 nucleotides) under Danio rerio (zebrafish). Lineage: Eukaryota; Metazoa; Chordata; Actinopteri; Cypriniformes; Danionidae. The record is from RNAcentral.
CGCCACAGCCAUAUCACCCUGCAGCACAAGACCAGUCACUCACUAAAGCUAAGCAGGGCUGAGUCUGGUCAGUACCUGGAUGGGAGACCACAUUGGAAUAGUAGGUUGCUGUUGGAA